This is a long non-coding RNA of Mirounga angustirostris (Northern elephant seal), 5882 nucleotides long. RefSeq lists it as uncharacterized. NCBI's taxonomy places the organism in Eukaryota, Metazoa, Chordata, Mammalia, Carnivora, Phocidae. The transcript is spliced from 7 exons. The record is from RefSeq and is a predicted model, not a curated record.
GUCCUGGCCGGGCCCAGCAAGCUAUUUUUGGGCCCGUUUAUUGAUGGGACGCCGGUGCCCGGCUGGACUCCUGAUUCAAGAGGAAGGCCUCAGGCUGGCCUAGGGCUCUGCUUCUCCAGGCCCUUUCCUGCCCUGGGACAGCCAUCAUUCGUGUCCUGUCUACAGCCUAGGACAUAUUCUGGAGCCUGGUUUGAUUCACAGGAGACAGAACCCAGAAUGAACACAGGAACACAUUUUGAGGGCAGAUGAAGAGUCGAGGACCCAGUACAUCGUGGGUGCUCUGAAGCCCAGGAGCCUGCUGGACAUAUGGAGGAAAAGAAUGAACUUCUUCGAGACUAAGCUUCACCUGGGAAGGUCUGUGUCCCCCGCUGGUACCAAGAACGCAAGGUCUGUGGCUGUUACGUUCACCCUUGAUUCCCCAGUGCCUGGAACAGUGCUUGGAACCGAGGUCUAACACUGCUUGACCCAUGGGAGGCAGCAUGGAACAUAGGGAGAAGAAAUGAAUGAACCAGCCCUUCCUACCAUCUCCCACUGUACUGGGAGCUCUAGAGACAGCAAGAGAGGGAACACAAGCAGGGAGAGUGGGAGAGGGAGAAGCAGGCCUCCUGACGAGCGGGGAGCCUGAUGCGGGGCUCGAUCCCAGGACCCUGGGACCAUGACCUGAGCCAAAGGCAGACGCUUAAUGACGGAGCCACCCAGGCGCCCCUUCAGUUGGUCUUCUUGUUGGAGGGUUGUGGUGAGCCCACACUUAUGAAGGGCAGAGCCACGUCUGGAUUACAGCAGGUGCCCGGUAAACGCUAAGCUGGGCCUCAGCGUGUGACACCGGCUGACCUUCUCAACUUUUCCUUCUCUUCCUGUCAACUCGUUGCAACUGCCCACAGUGAGGGCCGUGAACCGGUGAGGGGCUCAAAUUGAGAGAUCCAGUACACCUGGGCUCAAAGCCGGCCUCCUCCCCUCCCCAGCUACCUGGUUUCAUAGGAACCCCUUGCCCUGUCAGAACCUCAGUUCCCACGUCUACCUCUCAGGCUCCUUUCUGUUUCCCCAAAAUAGCUGUCAUGGCUGUACCUAGGCUGCAAGAGAGGCUAAGAAAGUGAGUUUUCUGGCAUCUACCUUGGGGAGGCAUGGGGUCCUAAGGUUGGUGCUAUCUACCCAGAUUUGCUCUGAGACACAGAAUGGGGUGAAGGGGGGUCUGGAAGGGCAAACAGAGGAUAUCUGCUUCUCACCCCAUCUGGAAGAGAAGCUCAUCCCAUGCUAUUCCACUAUCCUACCUGUUUAUGUGUCCAGCAGUUUAUACCACAUGACUUUACUUAUUUAUUCACUUAUUUUCUAGUCUAUUCUCCCAACACUGAUAUUGUCAACAUCAUGAGGGGCGGGCCUUUAUCUUGAUCACUUUAUGUCAUCAGGGCCUAAAGCCCAGCCAGGCACAUAGUUUGUGUUAAAUAAAUGGCUGAAUAAAUAAAUGGAGAGACGAUUGGAUGGAUGGAUGGAUGGAUGGAUGGAUGGAUGGAUGGAUGGAUGGAUAGAUGGAUGGAUAGAUGGGUGGAUGAUGAAUGGAUGGAUGGAUGGAUGGAUGGAUGGAUAGAUGGAUGGAUAGAUGGGUGGAUGAUGAAUGGAUGGAUAGAUGAUGGGAUGGAUGGAUGGUGGAUGGAUAGGUGGAUGAUUCAGUGCAUGGAUGGGUGGAUGGGUGGAUGAUGGAUGGAUGGAUAGAUGGAUGAUUCAGUGGAUGGAUGGAUGGAUGAUGGAUGGAUGGAUGGGUGGAUGGAUGGAUGGAUGGGUGGUUGAUGGAUGGUUGGAUGGAUGGAUAGAUAACUAGUUGGGCACAUCAGAAUCAAUUAAAGAGCUUAGAUAGUACACACACACACACACACACACAGGGGUCCAAGCCCUGCUCCAAAAAUAAAAAUAAAAGCCAACAUUUAAUGAGUACUUACUGUAUACCAGGCCCCAUGUGCAGCCUAUGAGGUAGGGCAUUUCACUGAACCUCACGGCCACCCUCUGAGCUAGUAACUAAUACUAAUCUUUUUUUUUUUAAAGAUUUUAUUUAUUUAUUUGAGAGAGAGAGAGAGAGAGCACGAGCAGGGGCCGGGUUUGGAGAGCGGCAGAGAGAGAGGGAGAAACAGACUCCCCACUGAGCAGGGGGUCCCUGGACCCCGAGAUCAUGACCUGAGCUGAAGGCAGACGCUUACCUGACUGAGCCACCCAGGUGCCCACUAAUCUUUUUUUUUUUUAGAGGACAAACCUGAGGCUCAGAGAGCUAGUCACUGACCCCAGGUCACACAGCUCCAGGAGGUGGAGGAGCCAAGAUUCAAGUCAAGAUCUGUUUGAUUCCAGAACCAAGCUUGGCCUCACUGGGCGGGCGGGGAUGCCCGGGAGUCUGGGGGGUCCUCAGGGCUCCACAGGUGAUUCUGAUAUGCAGCCAGGUGGCGAACCCUUGAGCAGGGCAGUGAGUUCUGGGAAGAGUGCUGGCUCUGGGGCCGGCUGACUCCUGCACCGUCCUGCAGCCUACCUCCUCUUCUCUGACACGGAGUGGGGUUUCAGGAGGCCGGAAGGAGCAGAGCAGCAUGCCUGCUGGAUGGUAAGCACGGGGGACUCACCCUGCAGGUCCUGUUGGUGCAGCAACAGCCGCAUUUUUAGUCCCUGGACUGGGGGCCAGUCGCCCCCCUGCUCCUUCUCCCAGCUCCCCGGUACACAUUCCCAGCUUCCCGGUGGGGAGCUUGAGACACGCGGCAGAAGACCCCACGGGGGCACUCAGGAGGCUUCAGCAUGUGGGUGCAGAGCAGGGAUGCUGUCGAGACUCCUGCCCAGAAACACAUCCCGCACCGAUCCUCCCACACGCAGGUGUGCGACCCAGCCGGCCAACACCGUGCGUGCAGGUCUGACAGCAAAAGCCAGGAAACCGGCCUGAUAGUGGUCGCAGCUGAUGUGUGUGUACAGGGCAGGCUUUCUCCACUCAGGUGGCCGUGUAGACUGUUAGCAGCGUCCCUGGUAUCAGUAGCAUUCCCUCCAUCCCGGUUGUGACAACCAGGAAUGUCUUCAGACAUGGCCAAUGUCUCCUGGCAGAGAACCCGUGGUCUAGAGUUUGCUCCAUGCGGGGCACAGGUGCGCAUACUCUGCAGAAGGCACCUCCUCCUCGAGACCCUUACGCCUGGAGACGGAUGCUUUUCGUCCUUCUACUGUACAGAGGCAGAGACGGCCAGGUUAGUGGUUUGCCCAAGGUCACGGGGCUGACAUUUCAGCAAUGCUGUGAUUUGAACCUGUGUUAAGUCCCAGGUCCCUCUUUUUCAAGUCGAUUUUUGUGGGUCCCUUGGACUUCUCCCCAUUCACAACCAUGUUGUCCGUGACUAGAUGUAAUCUCAUUUCUGCUUUUCCCAUGUGGCUACCUUGGCGCAUUCCAGAACAGACUUGCAGGGCAUGAAUUAUAGCCCAAGCAGAUUCUGUAAUCUGCACAGGAUUCUUUCUUUCCGGAAGUUAGAUUUGCUCAAUUAUCGACAAUUUGGAAAAUACAGAAUAAAAAGAAAAAAUAAAAUUUCGUAUUGGACUUCCCACAAAAGGCUCACUUUCUAGCAGCCUUGUCCUCUGAGAAGCUCUCUCUGCUUUGAAAUUUUAUCAUCCAGUUGCAAUCACACUAUAUAAUACAAAUUCCCCAAACUACAAAACCAGGUUUUUUUUUCAUGUUAUUACAAAAUCCUCUUGGACACUAUUUGUAAUUGUUGCCUGUUGUGGCCGAGACCCCAGUUUCUCCUCCAUUCUCUGACCUCUCCCUCUUCUUUCAUAAUAGAAAUCUCAAGUUUUAGCUGGGCAUGUGGCCACCCAGAAAAAAACUACAUUUCCCAGAUGUGUCCAUGUGACUAAGUUCUGGCCAAUGAUACAUAAGUAACUUCCAAGUAGUGUCCUCAGAGAGAGGGCGCCUGCUCUUCUUUGUAUCCUCCUUGCUGGCUGGAAUGCAGGCGUGAUGGCCAGAAUCAGAGUGGCAAUUUUGGGCCAUGGUGGAGCAAUAAGAGAAAAGGUACCUGAGUCCUGGAUGAAUUUAUAAAAACACCCUACCAGCCCUGGAUAGCCACCUCCACACUUCUUUUCGAUAAGAGAGAAACAAACUUCUGUUUCAUUUAUGCCCCUGGCAUUUGGGGUUUUUAGCCACUCAAAGAUGAACCUAAUCCUGAGUAUUGCACUAACAUUGUGCUGGAGGAAUUGUCUCUAACAUUCUUUUAGGAAUUACCACCUAAGUAGCUCAACUGUUCCCUGGCGAUUGGGCAAUUAGGUAGUUUCAGACUCCCCGCUACUCUAAAAUAAUUCUGUGGUGAACAUCUCUGUGCAUUUUCACUAUUUGUGGUUAUUUCCUCAGUACACAAUUCCAGAAUAGGGACUUGGUUGGGGGGGUCAAAAAACAUGAACCUUCUUAAUGCCUGUUAAUAACCAUCCGCCCAAGUGGGCCAGAGUCAGGAUGGGAGGCUACAUCGCCAGGAGAGAGGCUUGGGUUUCAUGGAAUAGCUGCCCCAGGGAAGCUGCUUUGUCGCUGAGGACCCCUCCCCCUGCAUCUGCUAGAGCUGGUGCCUUCUCCUCCGCACCCCCUCCUGUCCUUCUCUUCUAAUCACACGUCUCUGGGAGGCAUGUCUCCCUGAUGAAGCCCAGACCCCAUGCCUGCACCAAGCUGCAAGGGAGGCUGGGAAAGUGAGUUUUUGGCAUCUUCCUCCGGGAGAAUGGCCACUGGGGAAGGAGUUUCCUUGAAGCGGAUAUACAAGGUGUGGGGCAGCCAGAAAGUAGGGCGAAGCUUAGCUCCCUAAGCAAAGACCUACUGGGCUGGGGAGGAAUGCAGAAAGGCUUCCUGCCUCACUUUUUAAUUCGUCCUCCACUUAUCCUGAAGACCAGCAGGCAGAAGUAAAGAGGACAAGGAUAUCAUUCCCACUGGUGUCACCCUGGCAGUUUACCCAGCUCUGCAAGGGCUGCCUUAGAGCUGGGGACCCACACCUGGCAGAGCACAAGCCCCGUUCUCACCCCGUCGCCUGCAACCAGCAAGUCAACCUGGGUGUCAUGAUGUGAUGUAGGUGUGUCUCCCAGACGGCAUCCUUCAAGAGGAGGACCUGUCCUCCUUACCCACUCUAGUACUCCCAGCACCCAGAUGGGCCGUGGUGCAUGCUAGGUGCUCAAUGCAUAAAUCUUGAAUGAAUGAAUGAAUGAAUGAGUGAAUGAUGGCCAUCUGUUCUUAGUCCUGGAAGGAAGCUUGGAAUCCUGAAAUGAACAUUUAUCGAUGCAGCCAAUAUUUCCUGAGUAUUGACCAUGCUCCUGGCCCUGUUUUAGGUACUGGGGAUACUGUAGGAAAGAAGACAAAGUAACUUCCUGCCCUCAUGGUGGGGGAGAUGAACAGUAAAUGAGAAAACCCCAAAAUAUUGAUAUAGCAUAAUAUAAUAUGAUAUAACAUGAUACCAGGUCCUGGCAUAUGUUUUAUGAAGAAGUGCAAAACUGGGUAAGUGACUGAGAGAUGCUAAUUUAGAAAAAAAUGGUUGCAGAAUUGCUCUCUGAGAUGGUGACAUUUGAUGAGAGACCUGAGGUAGGCUAGCUGAGUAAAUAUCCGUGGGAAGCACGGGGAACAGGCAGUGCAAAGGCCCUGCGGUAGGACUGAGCUUCGUGUAUGUUAUUUGCAACAAGGCAGCCAGGGAGGCAAGGGUUACACUGGGUUUCCCAACUUCAGCAAAUCCACAGAACCCUUAACUGUCGGAAACAGUGGGGUGGGGGUGGGAUGAGUUCUUUACUCUUAAGCUUCUCUGGAAAAACAUGAUGUCAGGGACAGACAGUAAAUCUUGACUUGUCCCAGAAAACAAUGGGCCUACAAAAACCAGUAAAGUGUCAGGCUGAAAGUAAAUGCCAAAGGGCUGGGGCACGGGUAG